UAGGGAAUCUUCGGCAAUGGACGAAAGUCUGACCGAGCAACGCCGCGUGAGUGAAGAAGGUUUUCGGAUCGUAAAACUCUGUUGUUAGAGAAGAACAAGGACGUUAGUAACUGAACGUCCCCUGACGGUAUCUAACCAGAAAGCCACGGCUAACUACGUGCCAGCAGCCGCGGUAAUACGUAGGUGGCAAGCGUUGUCCGGAUUUAUUGGGCGUAAAGCGAGCGCAGGCGGUUUCUUAAGUCUGAUGUGAAAGCCCCCGGCUCAACCGGGGAGGGUCAUUGGAAACUGAGAGACUUGAGUGCAGAAGAGGAGAGUGGAAUUCCAUGUGUAGCGAUGAAAUGCGUAGAUAUAUGGAGGAAAACCAGUGGCGAAGGCGGAUCUAUGGUCUGUAACUGACGCUGAGGCUCGAAAGCGUGGGGAGCAAACAGG
Molecule: ribosomal RNA, 429 nt
Filed under: Gemmatimonadota bacterium
Lineage: Bacteria; Pseudomonadati; Gemmatimonadota
Description: Gemmatimonadetes bacterium partial 16S ribosomal RNA
Rfam family: Bacterial small subunit ribosomal RNA
Source: RNAcentral